Molecule: long non-coding RNA, 375 nt
Organism: Malurus melanocephalus (red-backed fairy wren)
Lineage: Eukaryota; Metazoa; Chordata; Aves; Passeriformes; Maluridae
Exons: 3
Source: RefSeq, a predicted model, not a curated record
UGAAAAGACCUGUGAGGAUUUAGCGGAGGGCGGCCGCUACUCGGCCCCGCCGGACAGCUCAACCCUCCCGGGCAGUUCGGUGUCACCUCAGAACUCGGUGUCACCUCAGAGCUCGGUGUCACCUCAGGGCUCGGUGUCACCUCAGGCUGAGGAUGACACCACCCCAACGUCCUCGCUCUUCGUUGGCAGCCUGACCACUGAAGAUGACACGAAGCUCAGCCAGUUUGAGGGAGGAGAGGGGAGCAGCCUCCCUUCCCGCAGCACCGGCGCCCCAAUUCCCGCGGGAGCCAUCGUUGGGAUCGCCGUGGCCGCGGUGGCCGUGGCCGGGAUCGUCCUGGUCGGGAUUUACGUCAGCGGUCACCCCACGUCCACCGC